Molecule: non-coding RNA, 381 nt
Organism: Biomphalaria pfeifferi
Lineage: Eukaryota; Metazoa; Mollusca; Gastropoda; Planorbidae
Source: the annotation of a GenBank genome assembly
CCCCCCUCCUAGUGCCGUAUGAGCAUGGGAUGGUGUGCCUGAAUCAGACAAGAAAACCAGUGACUAAAUUGACACGUGAAAUGCAUAAGACAUAAUUAUCUUAUUUUUUAAUUUUUUUUUUGAAGUAACGUCUGUAAUUUAUAAGACAAGAUAUUCAUUCUGAACUUUCUAAAAUUUUUGUUUUCGAUGUCAGAACUUUUGCACUGAGAUUACUUUUUGAUUACGUCAUUAGCUGUUGUAGUUCAAGAUAAGACAACUUUCUACCAACUUGUCCCUUUUUUUUAACUAUUAAUUUUCUUUUUCAGAUGUACAUGUGUGAUUAUAUGAAUUCAUUUCUUGUUAUGACAAAUGUUGUUGUUUUUUUUUACUCAAAACGAAAGA